AGCAGCCGCGGUAAUUCCAGCUCCAAUAGCGUAUAUUAAAGUUGUUGCAGUUAAAAAGCUCGUAGUUGAAUUUCGGGAUCAAUACGUUGGUCGUGCUUUCGGGUACGUACUGGCGUCAUUGGUUUCUCUCUUCUGACGAACCAUGAUGUCAUUAGUUUGGUGUUAUGGGGAGUUAGGACUGUUACUUUGAAAAAAAUUAGAGUGUUUAAAGCAGGCUCACGCUUGGAUACAUUAGCAUGGAAUAAUGAAAUAGGACGUUUGAUUCUAUUUUGUUGGUUUCUAGGAUUGACGUAAUGAUUAAUAGGGAUAGUUGGGGGCAUUAGUAUUCAAUUGUCAGAGGUGAAAUUCUUGGAUUUAUUGAAGACUAACUACUGCGAAAAGCAUUUGCCAAGGAUGUUUUCAUUAAUCAAGAACGAAAGUUAGGGGAUCGAAGACGAUCAGAUACCGUCGUAGUCUUAACCAUAAACUAUGCCGACUAGGGAUCGGAUGAUGUUAAUUUUUUAAUGACUCAUUCGGCGCC
Molecule: ribosomal RNA, 520 nt
Filed under: uncultured Glomus
Lineage: Eukaryota; Fungi; Glomeromycota; Glomeromycetes; Glomerales; Glomeraceae
Description: SSU rRNA
Rfam family: Eukaryotic small subunit ribosomal RNA
Source: RNAcentral